UUGCCUUUUAUGACAUGUUUUUCUAGAUGC
RNAcentral lists this non-coding RNA (30 nucleotides) under Rattus norvegicus (Norway rat). Lineage: Eukaryota; Metazoa; Chordata; Mammalia; Rodentia; Muridae. The record is from RNAcentral.